Molecule: long non-coding RNA, 3163 nt
Filed under: Gigantopelta aegis
Lineage: Eukaryota; Metazoa; Mollusca; Gastropoda; Neomphalida; Peltospiridae
Description: uncharacterized LOC121373731
Source: RNAcentral
UUACCACUGGGCUACGUCUCGCCCCACAGAGGUAAAUAAAAGCAAUGUAAAGAAAUGUGUAAAAAUUACAAAUAUCACAGAUAGGUAAAAUUAAAAUUUAGAAUAAAAGUCAGUAUCACGUAUAAAUUGUAAUAUAGGUUCCGGGAAUAGAAAGGAUUCCAUUACAUUUCUUUGUCCAAAUAUAUCUUUUCUAGUUUCUUUAAGAUGAUUGCACUCCACCAAAAUGUGGUGCACCGUCAGACUCAAACAAUAAAGUCAAUCUUAUCAUUAAUGUUUGGUAUAUAUUUGUAGUAGAAACACGUUAAAGAAAGGUAUGAACAAUCAAAUAUAAAGUUUAAAGGCGCAGACGCUAGUUUCAACCCGUGAAAAUUGACGCUAUGUAUCUGUGCUGUUUAAAAGGGGAAAUAUCGUCCAGAAGCAGACUAGAGCUUGUUUCGAUAACCAUUACGUGUUAGACGAACGUACGUCUUUAGAAUGAUGAAUUUUCGGGUAUUAAAAAGCUUGGAUGACCAGAACCACUUCUAAAUACUAAAAUACCAGAACACGUGCAUGUACUUCUAAUUUAAAUGAUCAAAAACGGCUUUAAUAGUGAACGAUAUGUCGUAGUGUUUAAAAACUAGGUUCUGUCACAUUAAUAGGAUAAACUAACGAAAGAAAUAUAUAUUCAAACUCCAUGAGCAGAUGAUAUUCUUCACUAUGUGUAAGCAUUGCUGUUUUUCUUUUACAAAUCGUAAAUUUUAUUAUUCUAAAACAUUUUACACAUAAAAUAUUUCGUUAAAAAUGUCAAUUCAUUUAUAAUCUGUUAAAAGAUUAAAUUAAUUUAAAUUCUUCUCUUAAAUGAAACUUUUUCAAUCGCCUUUUGAUGACUUUUAAAAAAAUGUCUAGUGUCACGUAAAUUCUCAAUGGAACCUGUCUGUGCUCGGGUAGCACCGUCAGUAGCAUGUGAAUCGCCAUCAGUCGUGAAAUAACCAAUGUUCAGUUUGUCUUCGUCCACUUAAAAUUCAUUCACGCAUUUUUCUGCAUAUAAGCCCUCAUUGCCGAUGGAAUCUGUUGUCUUGUAAUUUCCUAUCCUGUCUGUUUAUGUACACUGUUUUGGAUCCAACAUAAUUGGCUGAAUUAUGCAUUCCACGCUUGCUUCCAACAGGGAUACCAGCUGUGGAUAAGGAAUCGCGAAAUCCUGUAAUUCCAACUGAUGUAUUCAUAAGGCCAACAUGUAUCCCAAUAUUAGGCUGAGCAGCUUUCUGACCUCGUGCAGUGUGUAAAGUGACUUCUUCGUACAAUUUGUGCUUCUUCGAUCUAAAAUGACAUAGCUCACAUUUUAAACCUAGGCGCCAACACAUACCCCAUUGUUGAUAGGACUGUUCGUCAUGAAUCGGUGACCACAUAUGAAGAUGCACCUCGACUCGUUGACGGCUUAGCCACUGCAUCAAAGUCUUCCCCGGACAGCCUGGUACAGGCCAAAUCAGACCCAUACAGUGACACUCCUCAAAGAGUUAUCUCCCCUUGACCAGUCGUCACCAUAUAACCAAGUGACUUUCGUGAAGUGCAAAAUAGAACUUUAUCCUGCCGUGAGUUUCAGAAAUAUUGUGUACACAAUUUUUAAUGUAAAAUGUAUCAUACGUCUAUGACACGCAGACGAACAGACAGUCACGCAGAUACAAAUAUAGAGCAGGGGUGGGAAUCUCCUCGGAUCAGCUGUUUUCCUCUCAUGGAACAUUGCCUUUCUUCACAUUUUAAUCGUCCUUUCCUCCAAAAUGUGUCAGAUGGCACAGGUUUUAACCUAGGAUUUCAAGAAUUUCCGGAACCCCUCUAGAUUUCCUCUUGUUUUACAGUUCACCAAUUCCCACCCCUGAUAGAGACAAGCAGACACAUACACAGUCACACCCAUACUUUUGACUCUGUCGUCCGCAGAGAUACGUUUUUGAAAGUGCUGAAGCUUUGUCGACCAGACUAGGUAUACAUUCUCCAACAUCUUGAAUUAGCUCUUGGAUCAUUUUAAAAUUGGAACGUGCGAAAAACCCCACAUUUUCAGGUUGAUAUUGGAGCAUUACCAUUAGCGGCCCAGGCUGAUACUGAAGUAUUACCACAAGCGACCGGGCAGUAACUGGAAUAUUACCACAAGCGGCCCAGGCUCAUACUGGAACAUUACCACAAGCGACCCGGGCUGAUAUUGGAUCAUUAUCACAAGCGGCCCAGGCUGAUACUGGAAUAUUACCACAAGUGACCCAGGCUCAUACUUGAACAUUACCACUAGCGGCCAGGCUGAUACUGGAACAUUACCACAAGCGGCCCAGGCUCAUUCUGGAACAUUACACAAGAGGCCCAGGCUCAUACUGGAACAUUACACAAGCGGCCCAGGCUCAUACUGGAACAUUACAACAAGCGGCCCAGGCUGAUACUGAAACAUUACCACAAGCGGCCCGGGCUGAUACUGGAACAUUACAAGAUAUUUAGUGUAUGUUUGUACUUUAUUUAUGAAGCAGCUAUGCUUCCUAUUGACCUGAAAAUCCCUACCUGAUAAUUCGCAGUGAUAUAAUGUCACUAGGAAAUGAGUUGUGCGCAUGACAAAUGUUAGCUCCAUUUUCCGGUAGAUCGUUUUCUCAUUUUUCAAACACCUAUUUACAGCAAUAUUUGUUGAACUGCAUAAAUAAAUAUAACAUUUACACUUCCUGUAACAUCAAAUUACCUCAUAUUUUUCAAGUCUGCAUUAUUCGCUCCCAUUCGGAACUAGUUAGCGUUUUUAUUUAAACAUUUUGAAACAAAACCGCAAGUUGCUUCCUGCAAAUAAUGUUUACAUUUGGGAACAGCGUAUGACAUCACCGUCACUAACAGCCAGUGAUGUAGAUCUUCUUCAGUUCACACAUAAACUUGAGUUUAUUUUCACAGAAAAAGGUACAAAAAUUGUAAUGUGACACAACAGACUUUGAAAUAUAAUCAAAGUAUUUUAUUUAAAAUUUGAGAAACACAUAACGUUUAGGCUGGCAAUGCCACUCCCAUGAUGCUUUUGGGCACCUGCUAUUGUCCGACUUCCGGAAGUAGUUUUUACACGAUAAAACUAAUAGUUUCUAUACCGCUUUUGUAUAAAUACUAUAUAUAAUAGAAAAAAGAAUAGGAUUUUUUAGAAUUAAUAAAUUUGGAUUUAGAAAUUGAUUGUUCCCCUCCC